This 65-nucleotide transfer RNA is filed under the name Fukomys damarensis (Damara mole-rat). It matches the Rfam family "tRNA". From Rfam's summary of the family: Transfer RNA (tRNA) molecules are approximately 80 nucleotides in length. The record is from Rfam by way of RNAcentral. Lineage: Eukaryota; Metazoa; Chordata; Mammalia; Rodentia; Bathyergidae.
GGUGUAGCUCAGUGAUAGAGCACUUGCCUAGCACAUGUGAGGCCCUGGGUUCUAUCCCCAGCACC